AAUACCAAACACUCAUUUACAAACACAAAGGGUUUAAAUACAACACUGGACUUUCUACAAAAUAGACCAGCUCGACAAAAGGGGAACUAUCCUACAACCAACUAGCAGGACACGCUCUCCAACCCUUAUGACUUCACCUCUGCAACUCCUCAAGACCAACCAAAGCUAUCUGGCCGCUCCGUCCACCAGGGACCUGAAAUUUUAAUCCCACAACCGGGAUGAGAC
Molecule: long non-coding RNA, 225 nt
Filed under: Eucalyptus grandis
Lineage: Eukaryota; Viridiplantae; Streptophyta; Magnoliopsida; Myrtales; Myrtaceae
Description: long non-coding RNA (EGRA_LNC007439)
Source: RNAcentral